RNAcentral lists this ribosomal RNA (269 nucleotides) under uncultured prokaryote. RNAcentral describes it as "partial 16S ribosomal RNA". It matches the Rfam family "Bacterial small subunit ribosomal RNA", at positions 524 to 792 of the family's 1533-position model. The record is from RNAcentral.
UACAGAGGUCUCAAGCGUUGUUCGGAAUCACUGGGCGUAAAGCGUACGUAGGCGGCAGGGUAAGUCAGAUGUGAAAUCUCCGGGCUCAACCUGGAAACUGCAUCCGAUACUGCCUUGCUAGAGUAGUGGAGGGGCGACUGGAAUUCACGGUGUAGCAGUGAAAUGCGUAGAUAUCGUGAGGAACACUAGUGGCGAAGGCGAGUCGCUGGACACUUACUGACGCUGAGGUACGAAGGCCAGGGUAGCGAAGCGGAUUAGAUACCCCUGUA